GAUGAAGAACGUAGCGAAAUGCGAUAAGUAAUGUGAAUUGCAGAAUUCAGUGAAUCAUCGAAUCUUUGAACGCACAUUGCGCCCCUUGGUAUUCUGAGGGGCAUGCCUGUUCGAGCGUCAUUAUAACCCCUCAAGCUCAGCUUGGUGUUGGGGCCUGCUGCACUGGCAGCCCUUAAAAUCAGUGGCGGCGCCAUCUGGCUCUAAGCGUAGUAAUUCUUCUCGCUAUGGAGUCCUGGUGGAUGCUUGCCAUCAACCCCCAAUUUUUCUAUGGUUGACCUCGGAUCAGGUAGGGAUACCCGCUGAACUUAAGCAUAUCAAAAGCGGAGGA
This 328-nucleotide unclassified non-coding RNA is filed under the name soil metagenome. Its description in RNAcentral is "partial contains 5.8S ribosomal RNA, internal transcribed spacer 2, and large subunit ribosomal RNA". The stretch from base 1 to 120 matches the Rfam family "5.8S ribosomal RNA", at positions 35 to 154 of the family's 154-position model. The record is from RNAcentral.